This 1550-nucleotide ribosomal RNA is filed under the name Klebsiella pneumoniae. RNAcentral's name for it is "bacterial SSU rRNA". It matches the Rfam family "Bacterial small subunit ribosomal RNA". Lineage: Bacteria; Pseudomonadati; Pseudomonadota; Gammaproteobacteria; Enterobacterales; Enterobacteriaceae. The record is from RNAcentral.
AAAUUGAAGAGUUUGAUCAUGGCUCAGAUUGAACGCUGGCGGCAGGCCUAACACAUGCAAGUCGAGCGGUAGCACAGAGAGCUUGCUCUCGGGUGACGAGCGGCGGACGGGUGAGUAAUGUCUGGGAAACUGCCUGAUGGAGGGGGAUAACUACUGGAAACGGUAGCUAAUACCGCAUAAUGUCGCAAGACCAAAGUGGGGGACCUUCGGGCCUCAUGCCAUCAGAUGUGCCCAGAUGGGAUUAGCUAGUAGGUGGGGUAACGGCUCACCUAGGCGACGAUCCCUAGCUGGUCUGAGAGGAUGACCAGCCACACUGGAACUGAGACACGGUCCAGACUCCUACGGGAGGCAGCAGUGGGGAAUAUUGCACAAUGGGCGCAAGCCUGAUGCAGCCAUGCCGCGUGUGUGAAGAAGGCCUUCGGGUUGUAAAGCACUUUCAGCGGGGAGGAAGGCGUUAAGGUUAAUAACCUUGGCGAUUGACGUUACCCGCAGAAGAAGCACCGGCUAACUCCGUGCCAGCAGCCGCGGUAAUACGGAGGGUGCAAGCGUUAAUCGGAAUUACUGGGCGUAAAGCGCACGCAGGCGGUCUGUCAAGUCGGAUGUGAAAUCCCCGGGCUCAACCUGGGAACUGCAUUAGAAACUGGCAGGCUAGAGUCUUGUAGAGGGGGGUAGAAUUCCAGGUGUAGCGGUGAAAUGCGUAGAGAUCUGGAGGAAUACCGGUGGCGAAGGCGGCCCCCUGGACAAAGACUGACGCUCAGGUGCGAAAGCGUGGGGAGCAAACAGGAUUAGAUACCCUGGUAGUCCACGCCGUAAACGAUGUCGAUUUGGAGGUUGUGCCCUUGAGGCGUGGCUUCCGGAGCUAACGCGUUAAAUCGACCGCCUGGGGAGUACGGCCGCAAGGUUAAAACUCAAAUGAAUUGACGGGGGCCCGCACAAGCGGUGGAGCAUGUGGUUUAAUUCGAUGCAACGCGAAGAACCUUACCUGGUCUUGACAUCCACAGAACUUUCCAGAGAUGGAUUGGUGCCUUCGGGAACUGUGAGACAGGUGCUGCAUGGCUGUCGUCAGCUCGUGUUGUGAAAUGUUGGGUUAAGUCCCGCAACGAGCGCAACCCUUAUCCUUUGUUGCCAGCGGUCCGGCCGGGAACUCAAAGGAGACUGCCAGUGAUAAACUGGAGGAAGGUGGGGAUGACGUCAAGUCAUCAUGGCCCUUACGACCAGGGCUACACACGUGCUACAAUGGCAUAUACAAAGAGAAGCGACCUCGCGAGAGCAAGCGGACCUCAUAAAGUAUGUCGUAGUCCGGAUUGGAGUCUGCAACUCGACUCCAUGAAGUCGGAAUCGCUAGUAAUCGUAGAUCAGAAUGCUACGGUGAAUACGUUCCCGGGCCUUGUACACACCGCCCGUCACACCAUGGGAGUGGGUUGCAAAAGAAGUAGGUAGCUUAACCUUCGGGAGGGCGCUUACCACUUUGUGAUUCAUGACUGGGGUGAAGUCGUAACAAGGUAACCGUAGGGGAACCUGCGGUUGGAUCACCUCCUUACCUUAAAGAA